GGUGGCUCAGCAGUAGAGCGCCUGCCUGGCAUGCAGGAGGCCCUGGGUUCAAUUCCUCAGCACCA
RNAcentral lists this transfer RNA (65 nucleotides) under Dipodomys ordii (Ord's kangaroo rat). It matches the Rfam family "tRNA". Rfam says of the family: Transfer RNA (tRNA) molecules are approximately 80 nucleotides in length. Their secondary structure includes four short double-helical elements and three loops (D, anti-codon, and T loops). Further hydrogen bonds mediate the characteristic L-shaped molecular structure. tRNAs have two regions of fundamental functional importance: the anti-codon, which is responsible for specific mRNA codon recognition, and the 3' end, to which the tRNAs corresponding amino acid is attached (by aminoacyl-tRNA synthetases). tRNAs cope with the degeneracy of the genetic code in two manners: having more than one tRNA (with a specific anti-codon) for a particular amino acid; and 'wobble' base-pairing, i.e. permitting non-standard base-pairing at the 3rd anti-codon position. The record is from Rfam by way of RNAcentral. Lineage: Eukaryota; Metazoa; Chordata; Mammalia; Rodentia; Heteromyidae.